GUGUAAUUCAACAGACAGCUAGACAGGUUUAGGUCCAGUGUAAUUCAACAGACAGCUAGACAGGUUUUGGUCCAGUGUAAUUCAACAGACAGCUAGACAGGUUUAGGUCCAGUGUAAUUCAACACACAGCUAGACAGGUUUUGGUCCAGUGUAAUUCAACAGACAGCUAGACAGGUUUAGGUCCAGUGUAAUUCAACACACAGCUAGACAGGUUUAGGUCCAGUGUAAUUCAACAGACAGCUAGACAGGUUUAGGUCCAGUGUAAUUCAACACACAGCUAGACAGGUUUUGGUCCAGUGUAAUUCAACAGACAGCUAGACAGGUUUAGGUCCAGUGUAAUUCAACACACAGCUAGACAGGUUUUGGUCUAGUGUAAUUCAACAGACAGCUAGACAGGUUUUGGUCUAGUGUAAUGACAUUAACUAAAUAAAACAUGUCUUCACAAUACAAUGUUUAUAAUACAUCCAGCAUAUUGAUUAUUACUUUUUCUACACCAAUGACAUAAGAUUUGACUAAUUACCAGACAGUCCCCACAACCUAGUUGAUACUGACCUUAACCCAACACCUAGCAACCUCAUAACCUGGUCUAUACUGAGUUUAUACUGUAGUGACCUUAACCCAACACCUAGCAACCUCAUAACCUGGUCUAUACUGAGUUUAUACUGUAGUGACCUUAACCCAACACCUAGCAAUUUCAUAACCUGGUCUAUACUGAGUUUAUACUGUAGUGACCUUAACCCAACACCUAGCAACCUCAUAACCUGGUCUAUACUGAGUUUAUACUGUAGUGACCUUAACCCAACACCUAGCAACCUCAUAACCUGGUCUAUACUGAAGUGACCUUAACCCAACACCUAGCAACCUCAUAACCUGGUCUAUACUGAGUUUAUACUGUAGUGACCUUAACCCAACACCUAGCAACCUCAUAACCUGGUCUAUACUGAGUUUAUACUGUAGUGGCCUUAACCCAACACCUAGCAACCUCAUAACCUGGUCUAUACUGAGUUAAUACUGUAGUGACCUUAACCCAACACCUAGCAACCUCAUAACCUGGUCUAUACUGAGUUAAUACUGUAGUUACCUUAACCCAACACCUAGCAACUUCAUAACCUGGUCUAUACUGAAGUGACCUUAACCCAACACCUAGCAACCUCAUAACCUGGUCUAUACUGAGUUUAUACUGUAGUGACCUUAACCCAACACCUAGCAACCU
This 1213-nucleotide long non-coding RNA is filed under the name Salmo salar (Atlantic salmon). Its description in RNAcentral is "lncRNA (ENSSSAG00000106183.1)". Lineage: Eukaryota; Metazoa; Chordata; Actinopteri; Salmoniformes; Salmonidae. The record is from RNAcentral.